Unclassified non-coding RNA from Ictidomys tridecemlineatus (thirteen-lined ground squirrel), 103 nucleotides. Its record names the gene 7SK. It matches the Rfam family "7SK RNA". Rfam says of the family: 7SK was discovered as an abundant small nuclear RNA in the mid-70s but a possible function has only recently been suggested. Two independent studies have found that 7SK RNA binds the CDK9/cyclin T complex (known as elongation factor P-TEFb). The record is from Ensembl. NCBI's taxonomy places the organism in Eukaryota, Metazoa, Chordata, Mammalia, Rodentia, Sciuridae.
GGAUGUGAGGGCAAACUGGCUGCAACAUCUGUCACCCACUGGUCACCAGGGUUAAUUCUGAUGAUCUCGCUGGCUAGGCAGGUGUCCAUUUUCUCCAUCAUCC